UCCUUAUCUUCUUCAGACAAGUUUUUCAGC
Molecule: non-coding RNA, 30 nt
Filed under: Mus musculus (house mouse)
Lineage: Eukaryota; Metazoa; Chordata; Mammalia; Rodentia; Muridae
Source: RNAcentral